RNAcentral lists this ribosomal RNA (497 nucleotides) under uncultured bacterium. RNAcentral's name for it is "partial 16S ribosomal RNA". It matches the Rfam family "Bacterial small subunit ribosomal RNA", at positions 28 to 507 of the family's 1533-position model. The record is from RNAcentral.
GACGAACGCUGGCGGCGUGCCUAAUACAUGCAAGUUGAGCGCUGAAGGUUGGUACUUGUACCAACUGGAUGAGCAGCGAACGGGUGAGUAACGCGUGGGGAAUCUGCCUUUGAGCGGGGGACAACAUUUGGAAACGAAUGCUAAUACCGCAUAAAAACUUUAAACACAAGUUUUAAGUUUGAAAGAUGCAAUUGCAUCACUCAAAGAUGAUCCCGCGUUGUAUUAGCUAGUUUGUGAGGUAAAGGCUCACCAAGGCGAUGAUACAUAGCCGACCUGAGAGGGUGAUCGGCCACAUUGGGACGUAGACACGGCCCAAACUCCUACGGGAGGCAGCAGGAGGGAAUCUUCGGCAAUGGACGAAAGUCUGACCGAGCAACGCCGCGUGAGUGAAGAAGGUUUUCGGAUCGUAAAACUCUGUUGGUAGAGAAGAACGUUGGUGAGAGUGGAAAGCUCAUCAAGUGACGGUAACUACCCAGAAAGGGACGGCUAACUACGUG